AGAAACGGAAAGAGGAAGCUAAUGAAGAAGAGAGAGGAAGAUGGUGGAAAGACUGACUUUGCUCAGAGGGACAGUUUCUCCUUGACCCCGCAGAAUGCUUUAAUUCAAAGAAGUUCUACACAAUGGGAUCUGUCAUUGCACAUGGGAGUAUUUACCAACGCAACACAGAUGAAAGCCCCCCCCCACCCAUCUCUCUGUUUCCCGCUCCCAGUCUGGAUUGAUUUAACUGUACUGUUUCAAUUGUCUCUGCAGCAGCAGAUGUCGGCCAUAUUGAAACUGAACUUGGAGCCAGGCCUUCUCUACUGGGCUCAGGGCUUCUGCAGUUAGAGCAUUGGUCAAGUACAAUAGUGUUUGAAGAUUAUUUAUUUACUCCAUAUGUGAAAAACAGUUGUUAUAAUGUCUUCUGUGACUCUGGAGGAGUUUUUCAAUGUCUAUAACUCUAUGACAUCAAAAUAACUCAUUGUGAUGUCACCAGGGUUAUCUCAGUGUAAAUGUCAGACUUUUCACAUAAAGAUUGCAUCACUGUGA
Long non-coding RNA from Micropterus salmoides (largemouth bass), 528 nucleotides. RefSeq lists it as uncharacterized. The transcript is spliced from 2 exons. The record is from RefSeq and is a predicted model, not a curated record. Lineage: Eukaryota; Metazoa; Chordata; Actinopteri; Centrarchiformes; Centrarchidae.